AGCGAACGCUGGCGGCAGGCUUAACACAUGCAAGUCGAGCGGGCAUCCUUGUGGUGUCAGCGGCAGACGGGUGAGUAACGCGUGGGAACGUGCCCUUCGGUUCGGAAUAACUCAGGGAAACUUGAGCUAAUACCGGAUACGUGCGAGAGCAGAAAGGUUUAUCUGCCGAAGGAUCGGCCCGCGUCUGAUUAGCUAGUUGGUGAGGUUACGGCUCACCAAGGCGACGAUCAGUAGCUGGUCUGAGAGGAUGAUCAGCCACACUGGGACUGAGACACGGCCCAGACUACUACGGGAGGCAGCAGUGGGGAAAAUUGGACAAGGGGGGCAACCCUGAGCCAGCCAUGCCGCGUGAGUGAUGACGGCCUUAGGGUUGGAAAGCUCUUUUCUCCGGGACGAUAAUGAGGGUACCGGAGGAAUAAGCCCCGGCUAAAUGCG
This 435-nucleotide ribosomal RNA is filed under the name uncultured bacterium. RNAcentral's name for it is "partial 16S ribosomal RNA". It matches the Rfam family "Bacterial small subunit ribosomal RNA", at positions 29 to 505 of the family's 1533-position model. The record is from RNAcentral.